GUGGAUUAGAUACCCUGGUAGUCCACGCUGUAAACGAUGGAUACUAGGUGUAGGAGGUAUCGACCCCUUCUGUGCCGGAGUUAACACAAUAAGUAUCCCACCUGGGGAGUACGGCCGCAAGGUUGAAACUCAAAGGAAUUGACGGGGGCCCGCACAAGCAGUGGAGUAUGUGGUUUAAUUCGAAGCAACGCGAAGAACCUUACCAGGACUUGACAUCCCUUGAUCGCUGUAGAGAUACAGUUUCCCUUCAGGGCAAGGAGACAGGUGGUGCACGGCUGUCGCCAGCU
This 287-nucleotide ribosomal RNA is filed under the name uncultured bacterium. RNAcentral describes it as "partial 16S ribosomal RNA". It matches the Rfam family "Bacterial small subunit ribosomal RNA", at positions 773 to 1060 of the family's 1533-position model. The record is from RNAcentral.